Molecule: unclassified non-coding RNA, 402 nt
Filed under: Hevea brasiliensis (rubber tree)
Lineage: Eukaryota; Viridiplantae; Streptophyta; Magnoliopsida; Malpighiales; Euphorbiaceae
Source: RNAcentral
CACAUUGGCGCCCAAUGUGGAGGAGUACAAUGCAACAGCGGCAAAGUUAGUUGCUUCGGGCUCAGGACACUUGAUAAAGGGGAUUUUGUGGUGUGGAGAUGUUACUGCAGAUAGAUUGAAGUGGGGGAAUGAGGUUCUGAAGAAUAGGUUUAAGACAGGUUCGAAGACUGAGGUCAGUCCUGAGACGUUGAAGAGGAUCAAAAGGGUUAAGAGAGUGACAAAAAUGACAGAGAAAGUGGCAGUUGGAGUCCUAUCUGGAGCUGUGAAGGUUUCAGGAUUCUUUACUAGGUCCCUUGCAAAUACCAAAGCAGGAAAAAAGUUCUUUAGCCUCCUUCCAGGGGAAAUGGUUCUUGCCACUCUUGAUGGAUUUAGCAGAAUAUGUGAUGCUGUUGAAGUAGCUGG